RNAcentral lists this ribosomal RNA (251 nucleotides) under uncultured bacterium. RNAcentral's name for it is "partial 16S ribosomal RNA". It matches the Rfam family "Bacterial small subunit ribosomal RNA", at positions 58 to 339 of the family's 1533-position model. The record is from RNAcentral.
CAAGUCGAGCGCAACUUCGGUUGAGCGGCGGACGAGCGAGUAACACGUUGGAACCUACCUCGAACUCAGGGAUAACAUCUAGAAAUAGAUGCUAAUACCGGAUAGUCCCGUAAGGGUAAAGAUUUAUCGGUUUGAGAGGGGCCUGCGUACUAUCAGCUUGUUGGUAAGGUAAUGGCUUACCAAGGCUAUGACGGUUAACUGGUCUGAGAGGAUGAUCAGUCGCGAUGGGACUGAGACACGGCCCAUACUCC